Molecule: ribosomal RNA, 508 nt
Filed under: Fusarium oxysporum
Lineage: Eukaryota; Fungi; Ascomycota; Sordariomycetes; Hypocreales; Nectriaceae
Description: eukaryotic LSU rRNA
Rfam family: 5.8S ribosomal RNA (bases 143-296)
Source: RNAcentral
AAUAAACUCCCCAAACCCCUGUGACAUACCACUUGUUGCCUCGGCGGAUCAGCCCGCUCCCGGUAAAACGGGACGGCCCGCCAGAGGACCCCUAAACUCUGUUUCUAUAUGUAACUUCUGAGUAAAACCAUAAAUAAAUCAAAACUUUCAACAACGGAUCUCUUGGUUCUGGCAUCGAUGAAGAACGCAGCAAAAUGCGAUAAGUAAUGUGAAUUGCAGAAUUCAGUGAAUCAUCGAAUCUUUGAACGCACAUUGCGCCCGCCAGUAUUCUGGCGGGCAUGCCUGUUCGAGCGUCAUUUCAACCCUCAAGCACAGCUUGGUGUUGGGACUCGCGUUAAUUCGCGUUCCUCAAAUUGAUUGGCGGUCACGUCGAGCUUCCAUAGCGUAGUAGUAAAACCCUCGUUACUGGUAAUCGUCGCGGCCACGCCGUUAAACCCCAACUUCUGAAUGUUGACCUCGGAUCAGGUAGGAAUACCCGCUGAACUUAAGCAUAUCAAUAAGCGGAGGA